GUGUCAGCCGCCGCGGUAAGACGAACUGUGCGAACGUUAUUCGGAAUCACUGGGCUUACAGGGUGCGUAGGCGGCCUGUUAAGUAGGGUGUGAAAUCCCCCGGCCCAACCGGGGAAUUGCGCUCUAAACUAGCAGGCUUGAGUAAGCUAGGGGUGCACGGAACUUCCAGUGGAGCGGUGAAAUGUGUUGAUAUUGGAAGGAACACCGGAGGCGAAAGCGGUGCACUGGGGCUUAACUGACGCUGAGGCACGAAAGCCAGGGGAGCGAACGGGAUUAGAUACCCCGGUAGUCCUGGCCGUAAACGAUGAGCACUAGGCGGGAGAGGGUUCGCCCUUUCCGGCCGUAGCGAAAGCGUUAAGCACACCGCCUGGGGAGUACGGUCGCAAGAUUAAAACUUAAAUGAAUUGGCGGGG
This 413-nucleotide ribosomal RNA is filed under the name uncultured prokaryote. Its description in RNAcentral is "bacterial SSU rRNA". It matches the Rfam family "Bacterial small subunit ribosomal RNA", at positions 505 to 918 of the family's 1533-position model. The record is from RNAcentral.